RNAcentral lists this unclassified non-coding RNA (207 nucleotides) under Hevea brasiliensis (rubber tree). The record is from RNAcentral. Lineage: Eukaryota; Viridiplantae; Streptophyta; Magnoliopsida; Malpighiales; Euphorbiaceae.
GAUUUAGCAGAAGUCUCUCCUCAAAAACCCAAGGGCGCAGCCAUCGGCGAGAGAAACAAAACCUCGCCUGUCAUCGUUCCUUGCACAUCAAUCCGUAGGCAGACCUAAAGGAACUUUGUGGAAUUGAUGGCAUCAAAGAUUCAACAACUGCAAUCUCAGGCAUGCCAAGCUUCAAAAUUUGUUGCCAAGCAUGGUACUGCCUACUAC